AGUGAACGCUGGCGGUAGGCCUAACACAUGCAAGUCGAACGGCAGCACAGUAAGAGCUUGCUCUUACGGGUGGCGAGUGGCGGACGGGUGAGGAAUACAUCGGAAUCUACUUUUUCGUGGGGGAUAACGUAGGGAAACUUACGCUAAUACCGCAUACGACCUACGGUUGAAAGCAGGGGAUCUUCGGACCUUGCGCGAUUGAAUGAGCCGAUGUCGGAUUAGCUAGUUGGCGGGGUAAAGGCCCACCAAGGCGACGAUCCGUAGCUGGUCUGAGAGGAUGAUCAGCCACACUGGAACUGAGACACGGUCCAGACUCCUACGGGAGGCAGCAGUGGGGAAUAUUGGACAAUGGGCGCAAGCCUGAUCCAGCCAUCCCGCGUGGGUGAAGAAGGCCUUCGGGUUGUAAAGACCUUUUGUUGGGAAAGAAAAGCAGCAGGUUAAUACCCCGCUGUUCUGACGGUACCCAAAGAAUAAGCACCGGCUAACUUCGUG
This 492-nucleotide ribosomal RNA is filed under the name uncultured bacterium. RNAcentral describes it as "partial 16S ribosomal RNA". It matches the Rfam family "Bacterial small subunit ribosomal RNA", at positions 29 to 507 of the family's 1533-position model. The record is from RNAcentral.